CCUACGGGAGGCUGCAGUGGGGGAUAUUGCACAAUGGGGGAAACCCUGAUGCAGCGACGCCGCGUGGGUGAAGAAGCGCCUCGGCGCGUAGAGCCCUGUCAGCAGGGAAGAAAAUGACGGUACGUGAAGAAGAAGGCGCGGAUAACGACGUGACAGCAGCCGCGGUAAUACGUAGGGGGCAAGCGUUAUCCGGAUUUACUGGGUGUAAAGGGGGCGCAGACGGCGAUGCAGGCGAGGCGUGAAAGCCCGGGGGCCAACCCCGGGACUGCUCUUGGAACUGCGUGGCUAGAGUGCAGGAGGGGCAGGCGGAAUGCGUGGUGUAGCGGUGAAAUGCGUAGAUAUCAGGAGGAACACCGGUGGCGAAGGCGGCCUGCUGGACUGCAACUGACGUUGAGGCCCGAAAGCGUGGGGAGCGAACAGGAUUAGAUACCCCUGUAGUC
This 440-nucleotide ribosomal RNA is filed under the name uncultured bacterium. RNAcentral describes it as "partial 16S ribosomal RNA". It matches the Rfam family "Bacterial small subunit ribosomal RNA", at positions 338 to 795 of the family's 1533-position model. The record is from RNAcentral.